GAAUCCUUUGCAGACGACUU
RNAcentral lists this small nuclear RNA (20 nucleotides) under Arabidopsis thaliana (thale cress). RNAcentral describes it as "snRNA_06727". Lineage: Eukaryota; Viridiplantae; Streptophyta; Magnoliopsida; Brassicales; Brassicaceae. The record is from RNAcentral.